UCUCCGUUGGUGAACCUGCGGAAGGAUCAUUCACAAUAGGCGUUUUAUAGCACUUUUUCAAUCCAUAUCCACCUUGUGUGCAAUGUCGUUUUGUAGUGCGAAUGCUUGUCAUUUGCGCUACAGGAUGUUUACAUCCACUCUUAUCUUUAACAACUUUAUCUAAAACCUGUAUAAAUACUUAAUUCAAAUACAACUUUCAACAACGGAUCUCUUGGCUCUC
Molecule: unclassified non-coding RNA, 220 nt
Filed under: plant metagenome
Description: partial contains small subunit ribosomal RNA, internal transcribed spacer 1, and 5.8S ribosomal RNA
Source: RNAcentral